UCUCUCUGAAUCUGCGAACGGCUCCGCAUACCAGUUGUAAACCAUAGCGAGCUAACCUUGGGAAGACCCGAUCAAAAGGGACGACCCUUGGUUGGACAUGGAUACCCGUGGUAAUUCUGAGGCUAAUACAAGGACAUAUGACCUGGCUAACCGGGCAACUGGAAGGCUGGGGGUUGUGUGAAGCUUUACUGCAACACCGACCUAUGAGAUGAUGCACAAUCAGACCACCAUACCAAACGGUCUCGUUCCGCGGUCAGUACCCUCGGGGAAAGCCAAGGUGCUUGACUGGGUGGCUCUCGCUUCGUGCUUCUGACCUAUCAACUAGAUGGCAGCGUAACGGACAUGCUAUGGUUACAACGGGUACAGAGGAUAAGGGUUCGAUCCUGGAGAGUGGGCCUGAGAGAUU
This 406-nucleotide ribosomal RNA is filed under the name Physarum notabile. Its description in RNAcentral is "SSU rRNA". It matches the Rfam family "Eukaryotic small subunit ribosomal RNA", at positions 76 to 405 of the family's 1831-position model. Lineage: Eukaryota; Evosea; Eumycetozoa; Physariida; Physaraceae. The record is from RNAcentral.